Molecule: ribosomal RNA, 239 nt
Filed under: uncultured Lactobacillus sp.
Lineage: Bacteria; Bacillati; Bacillota; Bacilli; Lactobacillales; Lactobacillaceae
Description: partial 16S ribosomal RNA
Rfam family: Bacterial small subunit ribosomal RNA
Source: RNAcentral
CCGUAGCCCAAGAGAUCGGGAUAACACCUGGAAACAGAUGCUAAUACCGGAUAAUAACAGAUGAUGCCUAUCAACUGUUUAAAAGAUGGUUCUGCUAACACUCUUGGAUGGACCUGCGGUGCAUUAGCUAGUUGGUAGGGCAACGGCCUACCAAGGCGAUGAUGCAUAGCCGAGUUGAGAGACUGAUCGGCCACAUUGGGACUGAGACACGGCCCAAACUCCUACGGGAGGCAGCAGCG